CAAAGGUAGCAUAAUCAUUAGAGGUUUAAUUGGAAUCUGGUAUGAAUGGUUGGACAAAGGAAAUGCUGUCUUAAUAGUAAAAACUGAAGUUUACUUUUAAGUGAAAAGGCUUAAAUAUUUCAGAGGGACGAUAAGACCCUAUAAAGUUUUAUAGAAAAUUUAAAUUUGAUCAAUAUAUUAUUAAAGACUGAAUUUGAUUAUUCUAUUUCGUUGGGGCGAUGAGAGCAUAAUUAUAAGUAACUGCUAAAACAAGAAUUCUGUGAUAAGAGAAUUAUAAAUGAUGAUCCUUUUUAAAGAUUAAAAGACUAAGUUACUUUAGGGAUAACAGCGUUAUUUCUUUUGAGAGUUCAUAUCGAAAAAGAAGAUUGCGACCUCGAUGUUGAAUUAAAAUAUCUAUAUAACGAAGGUGUUAUAAAAGAGGGUCUGUUCGACCUUUAAAUUUUUACAUGAUUUGAGUUCAAACCGGA
This 467-nucleotide ribosomal RNA is filed under the name Serenius kuekenthali. RNAcentral describes it as "partial 16S ribosomal RNA". It matches the Rfam family "Bacterial large subunit ribosomal RNA", at positions 1951 to 2620 of the family's 2925-position model. Lineage: Eukaryota; Metazoa; Arthropoda; Malacostraca; Decapoda; Xanthidae. The record is from RNAcentral.